AGGCAGCCUGUGGGACCCCAACAUCACCGUGGAGACCCUGGAGGCCCACCAGCUGCGUGUGAGCUUCACCCUGUGGAACGAAUCUACCCAUUACCAGAUCCUGCUGACCAGUUUUCCGCACAUGGAGAACCACAGUUGCUUUGAGCACAUGCACCACAUACCUGCGCCAGACCAGAAGAGUUCCACCAGCGAUCCAACGUCACACUCACUCUACGCAACCUUAAAGGGUGCUGUC
This 235-nucleotide long non-coding RNA is filed under the name Homo sapiens (human). RNAcentral's name for it is "HSALNT0275015". The record is from RNAcentral. Lineage: Eukaryota; Metazoa; Chordata; Mammalia; Primates; Hominidae.